Long non-coding RNA from Pecten maximus, 513 nucleotides. RefSeq lists it as uncharacterized. The transcript is spliced from 3 exons. The record is from RefSeq and is a predicted model, not a curated record. Lineage: Eukaryota; Metazoa; Mollusca; Bivalvia; Pectinida; Pectinidae.
GAACCGUCCAUUCUCUAUGAACAAAAUAAAGAGAAUCGUGAUGGUCAGUACUUAAAAGGUAACACAGACCUGCCACGCUACGCUGACAGCAGUGACUAUGUCUCUGUGGAGAACUGGGAUGAAGAAAUCCCCAGUGUAGCAAGAGUUGGAGUGGACCCAAACUACUUCAUGAGACUCAAUGCCAGGAACACCGCCGGGUAAGUAUAGAAGGAUUUUGUUGGGACUAGGGGAUGAUCAGGUUGAAUUGUAAGGUGAGCCCUGUCUGAUCUCUAUUAUCAGUUCCCUUCCAGUAAAACCAGGGGAACGAUAGGUUUGAUCUCAAUCAGUCUUGUACUUACAUUUGUACCUACAUCAUAUACCUACAUCUUAUACCUACAUCUUAUACCUACAUCUUAUACCUACAUCAUAUACCUACAUCUUAUACCUACAUCAUAUACCUACAUCUUAUACCUACAUCAUAUACCUACAUCUUAUACCUACAUCAUAUACCUACAUCUUAUACCUACAUCUUAU